AUACACAUAUAUACACUCUAUUCUAUGUAUAUGUAAUAACUCAAUUUUUUAUUUUUUAUUUUAAAAAGAUUUUGGGCCGGGCCGGUUAACCGGCGGGCCUAGACCGGGCUAGGUUCGGGCCGGGUUAACUGAGCCCAAAUAAAAAAAUAACCGGCCCGAGACCCGGAACCCUAAAGCCCUAGGGCUUACCGAGCCGGUUCCUUUAGGUGGGCCGGGUAGGGCCGGGUUGGCCCGACCCACUUGACAGGCUUAACCCAGGCAAAGUAUAGGUCCUAUAUUAUGAUGAACAUUUUUCUAAAUAUUAUAUACGAUGCUAAUAAGGUUGGUGCAAAAGUUAUCAGUUCAUAUCAUAUAUGUGUUGCUGGUCGGCUCAUACGUUUUUCACUUUACCAUUUGACUCAUAUGAGCUUCUGUAUUUGUCCAACUGUUAUUCUAUCUGCUUUCAUACCAGUACAUAUUGUUUAUAUAUUGACGUCUCAGGCCCACCAUAUUUUAUUAAUACAGGCUCAGAUCCUCAGGAUAGCAGACGUCCUCGUUAGGCUCUAUUGCCAUUUUCAGCUGAUAUUUUGAGAGAUGACAUGGAAGUUCUUGAUGAGCCAUUGCAAAUUUUCUGCGAGUCAUUGGAGUGGAUAGACCUUACAAGGAAAAACUUCGAUUUGAAAUGCAUAUAGCAAAGCAAUGUGUGCCAAGUUUGUCAAAUGAAUUGACGAAAAGAAGAAAACACUCCAUCCUGAUAAAGAAUCUUGUUGAUAUAUUGGGACUUUGGAGUUUUCAUAGUAAAUUUUGCUGAGUUUCUUGGUGAUGGACUUUCGGUUUCUUUAUCUAAUUUUAAUGCAAAAUAUAAUCGGAAGAGAUACGUAACACUCUUACGAAUCUAUGGAGUCGCCAACGGUAGGAAAGGAUAUGCUAGCAACAAUGAAGACCCACCAAGACUAAGACCAAAUUCACCGACUGACGAAUCAACUAUUGUUGCCUUAGAGUAGUUACAAAGUUUCUGACAUCUUUCUUGUGAACAGUAGUAUCUUAGCGACAUGAAUUGUUGUUUUAAGUUAUAUGCAAUUGUUUUUUGGACAAA
Capsicum annuum is the source of this 1075-nucleotide long non-coding RNA. RefSeq lists it as uncharacterized. The transcript is spliced from 4 exons. Lineage: Eukaryota; Viridiplantae; Streptophyta; Magnoliopsida; Solanales; Solanaceae. The record is from RefSeq and is a predicted model, not a curated record.